UAUCUCUGUAGAGUCUGCAUAUCAAUAAGCGGAGGAAAAGAAACUAACUAGGAUUCCCUCAGUAACGGCGAGUGAAGCGGGAAGAGCUCAAAUUUGAAAUCUUCAAGGUUCUACCUUGACGAACUGUAGUUUAAAGAAGUGUUUUCUGUUGGAGUUUUGGUAAAAGUUCUUUGGAAUAGGACAUCAUAGAGGGUGAGAAUCCCGUAUUUGACCAUUAUUUCCAGCUUUGUGAUACACUUUCAAAGAGUCGGAUUGUUUGGGAAUGCAGUCCAAAAUGGGUGGUAAAUUUCAUCUAAAGCUAAAUAUUGGCGAGAGACCGAUAGCGAACAAGUACCGUGAGGGAAAGAUGAAAAGAACUUUGAAAAGAGAGUUAAACAGUACGUGAAAUUGUCAAAAGGGAAGCGUUUGACACCAGUGUUGUUUUCUCGAAAAUCAAUUAAAAAAGGCAGGAUUUUGUGUUGUAUUGACUUUAUCAGCUUUCUGCACUCUUUUCUUGUCUUUUUUUAAUGCACUUUUCGUUUAACAAGUCAACAUCAAUUUCUUUUGUUGUAAAAGGGUCAUUGGAAGGUGGCUUUCUUUUCGGAGAAAGUGUUUAUAGCCUUUGGCCUCUGCAAUCGGAGAGAUUGAGGUCUGCAGCGUAGAUCCUUCGGGGUUAGAUACAUUUGUGCUAAGUUAUAGCCUUUCAUAGACAACUUGUUGACUAUGAUCAGUCAUGUAGCUUACUCGCUUAUGCUAUUUUACCUACGCUUAGGAUGUUGAAGAUGUAGCACAUCAU
This 775-nucleotide ribosomal RNA is filed under the name uncultured Neocallimastigales. RNAcentral's name for it is "partial large subunit ribosomal RNA". It matches the Rfam family "Eukaryotic large subunit ribosomal RNA", at positions 24 to 635 of the family's 3401-position model. Lineage: Eukaryota; Fungi; Neocallimastigomycota; Neocallimastigomycetes; Neocallimastigales. The record is from RNAcentral.